ACGAAGGGGGCUAGCGUUGUUCGGAUUUACUGGGCGUAAAGCGCACGUAGGCGGACUUUUAAGUCAGGGGUGAAAUCCCGGGGCUCAACCCCGGAACUGCCUUUGAUACUGGAAGUCUUGAGUAUGGAAGAGGUGAGUGGAAUUCCGAGUGUAGAGGUGAAAUUCGUAGAUAUUCGGAGGAACACCAGUGGCGAAGGCGGCUCACUGGUCCAUUACUGACGCUGAGGUGCGAAAGCGUGGGGAGCAAACAG
This 251-nucleotide ribosomal RNA is filed under the name uncultured prokaryote. RNAcentral describes it as "partial 16S rRNA". It matches the Rfam family "Bacterial small subunit ribosomal RNA", at positions 525 to 775 of the family's 1533-position model. The record is from RNAcentral.